This 289-nucleotide ribosomal RNA is filed under the name uncultured bacterium. Its description in RNAcentral is "partial 16S ribosomal RNA". It matches the Rfam family "Bacterial small subunit ribosomal RNA", at positions 337 to 643 of the family's 1533-position model. The record is from RNAcentral.
ACCUACGGGGGGCAGCAGUGGGGAAUAUUGCACAAUGGGGGAAACCCUGAUGCAGCGACGCCGCGUGAAGGAAGAAGUAUUUCGGUAUGUAAACUUCUAUCAGCAGGGAAGAAAAUGACGGUACCUGACUAAGAAGCCCCGGCUAACUACGUGCCAGCAGCCGCGGUAAUACGUAGGGGGCAAGCGUUAUCCGGAUUUACUGGGUGUAAAGGGAGCGUAGGCGGUGAUGCAAGUCAGAAGUGAAAGUCCGCAGCUCAACUGCGGGACUGCUUUUGAAACUGUUUGACUA